UCGCGAGUAGCUCGCGAGUAGCUCGGUCAACAACUCGACUCGAACUCGGGUUGACCGAGUUCGAGUCGAGUUUCGAGUAGCUCGACUCGUAAUCGAGUCGAGCUUCGAGCCGUAUAUUCCGAGCUCGUGGCUCGUCGAGCUACUCGACGAGCCGGCAUUAAUUAAAUAAAAUAUUUAUAAUUUAAAUAAUAUAUAUUUAUUAUAAUUAUAAAAUGACCAUUAUGGGUAUAAGAUAUAUGGAAUUUACAAUAUUACCUUCUUUAUAAUAAAAUCCUAUAAUGGCAAAAAAGUAAUAACAUAAUUGUAAAAAACACUAAAAAGAAAAAAUGUAAAAAAAAAAAGGAAGCCUUUCUUCCUUCUCUAUGCCGACUGUGCGACUUUCUUCUCUGUUCGAAGAAAGCCUAGCAAAAAAAUUCACUUACCAGCCGGCAGCUGACUCUGACUGAUUUAGAUCUACACCCUCACUCCGUUCGUCGCCGACACCGUUGCUCGCCGCAUCUGUGAGGCUCCAUCGCCAUCGCCAUCGCCUUAACAAGUCCCAAGUCCCAAGUCCCAAAUCGAAGCUGCUCUCUGCCUCUCCGGCCUCCGCCAGUCCGCCGCGCUCUACGUCUCCUGUCGGCUGUGUCCUGCCGUGCUGGUUCAUCGCUGCCGAGUGUCGAAGACGAAGCACCAAGAUCUCACUAGUUCAUCGCUGGUUCAUCACUGCUCAUCUGUGGCUCACUUAGGUAAGUGCUCCUCUGUUUUUGGCUCUGUGUCUCUGGCAUUAAAAUGGGCCAAGAUCGACUAGGAAACUUGUUAUCCUGAAUUGAUAAGGUUUCUGAUCAUUUUUGGGCUAGUUAUUGCUUUAAUUUGAGUGAGAAUCCGGCAAAAUUUUAAUGCCCAUUUACUGUUCGACAAAAUGCUUGAUUGAAAGUUUUAGUUGAAGGGUGAUUGGUCUGCAUUUUUGCACAUGAAAAAUACUGGCCAAGUCGGCCAGUUCACUUCCUCGCAUCUAAGAAUUUUUGGUGUGUUGAUGUCUUACAUUUUUCUGCUCCUUAUGCUUCCGGUCGAGUGAAUUCGAAUUGAUGUUAUGAGAGGGAGUGUUGUGAGUCUCAUUGUUUGUUGGAAUGGUUAGAAAUUGAAGCCAGAUUUCUGGUUGCUGAAUGGUAAUUGAUAUUUGCUCGUUGGAGAAGAUGAUCACUUGUCCAAAAUUGCAAUUUCAGUCCCUCCGUUUUCUUUUUGUUUAGUGAUUUGGUCCUGUCUUUUCCUGAGCUUCAUAUUUGCCUCCAACACCAUCAUAAGUCCCUUAAUUAGGUCCCUGCUUUGUUGCAUUUUCGUCAAAUCGAGUCAAAAAGCUUGAUAAGACUCGACUUGAUAAGGCUCGAUUAAAGAUCGAGCCUUAUCGAGUCGAGUCUCGAGCCUAAGGAAAUUCUUCGAGUCGAUCUUCGAGUAUCGAUUUUCGGGCUCGAUCGAGCUCGAGUCGAGCUCGAGUUUCUGUGUGUAUGAGUCGAGUCGAGCUCGAGUAUAGUGAUACUCGAGCUCGACUCGGCUCGAUUACAUCCCUAGUUGUACCUAAGAUAUAAACUAAUUAAGUACACCUAUAUUAUGUACUCCUCUGUAUUUUUUUUUUUUUUGUAAAUUAUGUUGACUUGUUUCCUUUGCACUAUAUAUGAAAUUUGCAAAAGUUGUACCUGUUUUUUCCUUUAAUAUGGCUCAUUCUUUUUACCCUUUUCCAAAUAUUACUUUAGAAAAUUAUAUCGAAGAAACAACAAUAAUUACAUUAAUGAAUGUGCCUAUUUCAUGCAAUCUUCCAAAAGAUGCUUCCACAAUGUCUUCUUUUCCAAUACAUGUGUUCAAUUCAAAUACUUUUUCUGUUGUUAUGUGAUCAUAGAAAUUUUCAGUAUAAAAUGUGAUUAUUUAAAAAUAAUGGAAAGAUGCACCCUUUUCACCCUUGGGACCAACAAAUUCAAUGUGCCUGCGGUGAGGUCUACUCUGACCAAGAGAUAUGCAUAGAAGUCCAGUGGAGCACAGCACGAGGUCUCAUUUAAUCAUUUCAAUCAACUGCUCUUUUGUUUACUAUUAUUUAUGAUGAUUUGUGGACUAUUCUCUGCUUAUGAAUUGUGACAAACUUGAAUUCUUUAUCUUGAAUUAAGAAACUUUCCGUCUUCUUGUAGCAUUAUUUUCAUUCUUUCCUUUGAAGUUAACAGUAGUCUCUUAUGAUAUAUUUAGUCAUCAAAGCUGCUACUUGUCAGUAGGCCUUUGGUCUUUUCCCAGUUGGAUAAGUGGACGCCAGCUUUUGAAUGGUCCUGGUUGGAUACAUAGCCAUCAUAUUGUCCUAGUAGAAACUUAUAAUAGUUGAAUACUUCCACCUCAAAAGUAACUGCAAAAUAUAUCAGAAAACUCUUUGGUUGUUCGUGUAUCAAUUCACCCUUUAUUUAAUUAUGUUAAAUUGUUAAGAUUCUCC
This 2443-nucleotide long non-coding RNA is filed under the name Coffea arabica (coffee). RNAcentral describes it as "long non-coding RNA (CARA_LNC007303)". The record is from RNAcentral. Lineage: Eukaryota; Viridiplantae; Streptophyta; Magnoliopsida; Gentianales; Rubiaceae.